CUUACUAAGAGAAUUGCUGAAUUAAAGUUGCAUGUGUGUGCAUGUGUUGGGAAGAAGUGCUGAUUCCAGCGCAGAGUGGCUGUACUCCUUCCUCAUCUCCACUCACAAAAAUGCCAUCUUUUAUCUGCUCAGACCUGACAUGGAGAUUCAGGUCAGCGGCCAGGGACUGUCAGCAUAUUGCAGUGGAUACCCCUGCCUAGCCCAGGUUCUCUUUUCAACUUGUCUGCGAGGCAAGAAUGGAUACAGAUGUGAGAGUGAGAGGAAGUCUGCGGGAAGCCGGGGUCCAAAUACAUAAGGAAAUAUGAAAAUGGAGAGUUAAUUGAAUCCCUAUGAGACUAUAUCCCAUUUUGUUGGAAAAUCAAAGCAUCAGCAUGGAUGAGUUGGUGUUCUGGAUUUUGUGUGCUCAAAGUAAUAGCUACCUAAUGCUUUGAGGACUUAAUAUCAAGUAAGCGUUUUAAAGAUAAAUGGUAAAACUGAACUGGAAAUCCAUCUGGCCGGCUGCCUGCUCUAAUGAAUAACCCCACUUUGGCUCGUGCAAUGACGUCUUCCCUUUGGAAAGCAGUGCAGUGACAGUGUCAAGGGUGCCUGUGUGUUUGCGGCAUGUUCCUUCCAGAAGCAGCUGUAAGUGCCACCUCCAGGCCAUCUGGCCAAUGUGAGAAAAGGUGGUUGCAAUGGCUUGGCAAAAAACAACUUUCUGGUCCUCUGGUGUCCCCUUAUAACUGAUUUAAACAUAUGUGCAAGGACUUCCUUAUUGCUAUCAGUGGCUGUCAAAAAUUUAUAAGCAUAUUCAUUUCUCUGUUCAACUUAAUUGGUAUUUUGGAUUUGACACUAGGAAAGCAAGUUUGACUUGCGUGUUAAGAGUCCAAGGAUAUCACCCACAAAAUUCUAGACAAUAAGAAAGGGUAAGUGUCUGAGGAGAGAGGGCACUUACAAGUUAUUCCAUUGAAUCCUAAUUUGAGGCUUCCAAAUUCAUUUUGGGGCAAUCAAAGAGAAAGAACUCUAAGCAUGGCUUUUUAAAACACUAUAAAAAGGAUUCCUGGUAUAAUAGAGCUCUCUAAUUUGAUUGAAGAGCACAUAGACUUCUAGAACAAGUUGUAUUUUUGAUGCUUAAAAAAAAAUCUUUUUUUUUCUGUGAUGUGGUCUUUUAAACUCAUAGCAUACCUUAUAGCUCCCUCUACUUCCUAUAUUUUAAUUGAUCUUGAGGUUAUUUUCCUGUCACUGGGCUUAAUGAACAAGUAUUUUAGAAUUUCUUCCUGUAUAUAUCUUCAUUCCUAUCUCAAUAAAAUGUCUAAUCAAGAAUUCACGUGUAGAAAAUAAAAAAUAGAAGCACAUAGCCUUAAAGUGAAGUUAGUUGUUUCUGUUAUUUUAUAAAAUCCAUGGACCUCAAGUUUGAGUAUCAUUAUUAUAAAAAACAUAGCCACUCAAGCCAUGUGUGACACACUCGCUCAUUAACUGUGCAGCUUUUCCUAUAGAAUAUGGGAAUAUGGGGCAGAGGCCAUGUGAUAAGAUGCAGGCUUCUUGUCAAUGGACCCAAAUUAAAAUACUAGCUUUUCCUAUUUUUAAGUUGGGUUACUUUGUCCAUUACAUGGAGUUACUCUUGCCCAACUAGCAUGGUUGACAUCAUCUCACCAAAAAUCAAUAAAUGUAUGGGUGCUCAAGAAAUGUUGUUGAUUUAUUUCAAGGGGGUGCUUCAAUAAUGAGAAGUAGUUAAGCAACUGGGUUAGGGUUUGAAAUUGGCCAAAUCUCAGAAAUCACCCUGAUCUGACUUAACUCUUCUCUGCCUCAGUUCCCUUUUCUCUAAAAUGGAGCUAAUAUCAAAGUCUUUGAAACUAUGGAAAGAAUUAAUGCAUAUUAAGUCCUUAAGAAAGUUCCUGAUGUAAACUGUGGACCUGGGGUGACAACAGUGUGUCAGUGUAGGUUUAUCAAUUGUAACACGGGGGAGGAGACUGGACUGGGAGAAGGGGUGGGGGCGCAGGGGCUAUAUGAGAAAUCUCUGUAACUUCUACUCAGUUUUGUUGUGAUUUCAGGUUCACAUCUAUUUUGAAAAGUUUCCCUGCACAUAGAAAACAUUCCAUCAAUGUUGGCUCUUACGAUUUACAUAUAGUGC
Long non-coding RNA from Sapajus apella (tufted capuchin), 2107 nucleotides. RefSeq lists it as uncharacterized. The transcript is spliced from 4 exons. The record is from RefSeq and is a predicted model, not a curated record. Lineage: Eukaryota; Metazoa; Chordata; Mammalia; Primates; Cebidae.